RNAcentral lists this ribosomal RNA (207 nucleotides) under uncultured bacterium. RNAcentral's name for it is "partial 16S ribosomal RNA". It matches the Rfam family "Bacterial small subunit ribosomal RNA", at positions 568 to 774 of the family's 1533-position model. The record is from RNAcentral.
CGCGUAGGCGACUUGGCAAGUCAGAUGUGAAAUUCCGGGGCUCAACCUCGGAGCUGCAUUUGAAACUGCCAGGAUUGAGGAUAGGCGGAGAAAAUGGAAUUCCACGUGUAGCGGUGAAAUGCGUAGAUAUGUGGAAGAACACCGGUGGCGAAGGCGGUUUUCUAGCUUAUUCCUGACGCUGAGGCGCGAAAGCAAGGGGAGCAAACA